GGGGGAGUAGCACAGAUGGUUAGUGCAUUAGUUUGUCACACUAAAGGUCGGGGGUUCAAGUCCCCUCUCUCUCG
RNAcentral lists this transfer RNA (74 nucleotides) under Hariotina sp. MMOGRB0030F. RNAcentral's name for it is "tRNA-Asp". It matches the Rfam family "tRNA". From Rfam's summary of the family: Transfer RNA (tRNA) molecules are approximately 80 nucleotides in length. Their secondary structure includes four short double-helical elements and three loops (D, anti-codon, and T loops). Lineage: Eukaryota; Viridiplantae; Chlorophyta; Chlorophyceae; Sphaeropleales; Scenedesmaceae. The record is from RNAcentral.